This 94-nucleotide small nucleolar RNA is filed under the name Moschus moschiferus (Siberian musk deer). Its description in RNAcentral is "Small nucleolar RNA SNORA11 (ENSMMSG00000013628.1)". It matches the Rfam family "Small nucleolar RNA SNORA11", at positions 35 to 129 of the family's 129-position model. From Rfam's summary of the family: U107 (SNORA11) is a member of the H/ACA class of snoRNAs that guide the sites of modification of uridines to pseudouridines. This snoRNA was identified by RT-PCR from blood cells and its expression confirmed by Northern blot analysis. Lineage: Eukaryota; Metazoa; Chordata; Mammalia; Artiodactyla; Moschidae. The record is from Rfam by way of RNAcentral.
AAGGUAUGUUUAUAACACACCAAAUAGGAAUCUGGGUUAUUGUGACAAGGGGCACAAUACUUGUGACCUUCCUGUGAACAAACACCCAACACGU